CACCCGAUAGCGCACGGCGCGCACCUGCUUGGCUUGGACGACUGCCCCCCCUCAGUUGUGCAGGAGGUCCCCGUUCGAUCCGGGGUCGGGUGG
Molecule: non-coding RNA, 93 nt
Organism: Mycena polygramma
Lineage: Eukaryota; Fungi; Basidiomycota; Agaricomycetes; Agaricales; Mycenaceae
Source: the annotation of a GenBank genome assembly